GGCGAUGAAGGGCGUGCUAAUCUGCGAUAAGCGCCGGUAAGGUGAUAUGAACCGUUAUAACCGGCGAUACCCGAAUGGGGAAACCCAGUGUGAUUCGUCACACUAUCAUUAACUGAAUCCAUAGGUUAAUGAGGCGAACCGGGGGAACUGAAACAUCUAAGUACCCCGAGGAAAAGAAAUCAACCGAGAUUCCCCCAGUAGCGGCGAGCGAACGGGGAGGAGCCCAGAGCCUGAAUCAGCAUGUGUGUUAGUGGAAGCGUCUGGAAAGGCGCGCGAUACAGGGUGACAGCCCCGUACACAAAAGCGCAUGUGCUGUGAGCUCGAUGAGUAGGGCGGGACACGUGGUAUCCUGUCUGAAUAUGGGGGGACCAUCCUCCAAGGCUAAAUACUCCUGACUGACCGAUAGUGAACCAGUACCGUGAGGGAAAGGCGAAAAGAACCCCGGCGAGGGGAGUGAAAAAGAACCUGAAACCGUGUACGUACAAGCAGUGGGAGCACCCUUUGGGUGUGACUGCGUACCUUUUGUAUAAUGGGUCAGCGACUUAUAUUC
RNAcentral lists this ribosomal RNA (550 nucleotides) under Salmonella enterica subsp. enterica serovar Enteritidis. Its description in RNAcentral is "partial 23S ribosomal RNA". It matches the Rfam family "Bacterial large subunit ribosomal RNA", at positions 45 to 635 of the family's 2925-position model. The record is from RNAcentral. Lineage: Bacteria; Pseudomonadati; Pseudomonadota; Gammaproteobacteria; Enterobacterales; Enterobacteriaceae.